This 588-nucleotide ribosomal RNA is filed under the name uncultured bacterium. RNAcentral describes it as "bacterial SSU rRNA". It matches the Rfam family "Bacterial small subunit ribosomal RNA", at positions 338 to 943 of the family's 1533-position model. The record is from RNAcentral.
CCUACGGGAGGCAGCAGUGAGGAAUUUUCCGCAAUGGGCGAAAGCCUGACGGAGCAAUACCGCGUGAGGGAUGAAGGAUUUUGGUCUGUAAACCUCUUUUCUCAAGAAAGAAGUUCUGACGGUACUUGAGGAAUAAGCAUCGGCUAGCUCCGUGCCAGCAGCCGCGGUAAUACGGGGGAUGCAAGCGUUAUCCGGAAUGAUUGGGCGUAAAGCGCCUGUAGGUUGUUUAUUAAGUCCGUUGUUAAAGCCUAGGGCUCAACCCUAGAAAAGCAAUGGAAACUAGUAGACUAGAGUAUGGCAGGGGUAGAGGGAAUUUCUAGUGUAGCGGUGAAAUGCGUAGAUAUUAGAAAGAACACCGGUGGCGAAAGCGCUCUACUGGACCAUUACUGACACUCAGAGGCGAAAGCUAGGGUAGCAAAAGGGAUUAGAUACCCCUGUAGUCCUAGCCGUAAACGAUGGAUACUAGAUGUUGUGCAUUAUGUACAGUAUCGUAGCUAACGCGUUAAGUAUCCCGCCUGGGGAGUACGCUCGCAAGGGUGAAACUCAAAAUGAAAUUGACGGCUGAGAGNGCAGACGACACGAGGAGAG